RNAcentral lists this ribosomal RNA (492 nucleotides) under uncultured bacterium. RNAcentral describes it as "bacterial SSU rRNA". It matches the Rfam family "Bacterial small subunit ribosomal RNA", at positions 903 to 1397 of the family's 1533-position model. The record is from RNAcentral.
AAAUGAAUAGACGGGGACCCGCACAAGCAGCGGAGCAUGUGGUUUAAUUCGAAGCAACGCGAAGAACCUUACCAGGACUUGACAUCCCUCUGACCAGUCCUUAAUCGGACUCUCCCUUCGGGGCAGAGGUGACAGGUGGUGCAUGGUUGUCGUCAGCUCGUGUCGUGAGAUGUUGGGUUAAGUCCCGCAACGAGCGCAACCCUUAUCAUUAGUUGCCAUCAUUAAGUUGGGCACUCUAAUGAGACUGCCGGGGAUAACUCGGAGGAAGGUGGGGAUGACGUCAAAUCAUCAUGCCCCUUAUGUCCUGGGCUACACACGUGCUACAAUGGUCGGUACAGAGAGACGCAAUACGGUGACGUGGAGCAAAUCUUCAAAACCGACCCCAGUUCGGAUUGUAGGCUGAAACUCGCCUACAUGAAGUCGGAGUUGCUAGUAAUCGCAGAUCAGAAUGCUGCGGUGAAUGCGUUCCCGGGUCUUGUACACACCGCCCGU